UGACCUUUUGAGGUACAGCCACAGAUCAGCAGAGGUACUAAGAACAUACAUGUGGAAAAGACAAUUUCUUCGAUAGAUGAUAUUGAGAAAGCUGGAUGUCCACAUGCAGAAGGAUGAAAUUGGACCUUUAUCUCACAUCAUAGAUAAAAAUCAACUCAGAAUGGAUUAAAGACUUAAACAUAAGGUCUGAAGCUGUAAAACUAGUAGAAGGAAAUAGGAGAAAGCUUCAUAACAUUGGCCUGGGCAAUGAUUUUUAAAAUAUGACUCAAAAACCACAAGUGACCAAAGUAAAAAUAGACGAAUGGGUUGCAUCAAACUAAGCUUUUGUCCAGCAAAGGGAAAAAUUAACAGAGUAAAGAGACAACCUACAGAAUGAGAGGAAAUAUUGUAUUUGCAAACCAUACAUCUGAUAAGGAAUAUCUAAAAUACAUGAGGACCUAAAACAACUCAAUAUUUUAAAAGACUCUGUUAAAAAAUGGGCAAAAGCUAUUCAGGAAUAGACAUUUCUCAAAGGAAGACAUACAAAUGGCCAGCAGGUAAAUGAAAAGAUGUUCAAUAUCACUAAUCAUCAAGGAACUGCAAAUCAAAACCACAAUGAGGUAUCACCGCCCACCUGUCAGAAUGGCUUUUAUUAAGACAAAAGAAAACAAGUGUUGGUGAGGAUGUGGGGAAAAGGGAACCCUGGCACACUGCUAAUGGAAAUGUAAAUUAGUACAGCCAUUAUAGAAAACAGUAUGAAGUUUUCUCAAAAAAAUUAAAAAGAGGACUACCAUGUGAUCCCGCCAUCUCUCUACUGGGUGUAUAACCAAAAGAAUUGAAAUCAGUCUGCCUGGCUGGGUGCGGUGGCUCACGCCUGUAAUCCAAGAACUUUGGGAGGCCGACGCGGAUCACCUAAGGUCAGGAGUUGGAGACCAGCCUGAGUCCAUUGCUAAAAGAAAAAAAAGAAAGAAAAAAAUCAGUAUGCCUAUUCAUUGCAGAAUUCUUCACAAUAGCCAAGAUACAGAAUCAACCUAACUGUCCAACAAUAGAUGAAUAGAAAAAGAAAAUGUGGUAAAUAUGCACACUGAAAUAUUAUUUUCACCUUUAAAAAAAAAAGGAAAUCCUGUAAUUUACGACAACAUGGAUGAACCUGGAAGACAUCAACCUAAGUAAAACAAGCCAGGAACAGAAAGACACAUACUGUGUGAUCUCACUUAUAUGUGGAAUCUAAAAUGUGUCAAACUCAUAGACCAGGUGCGGUGGCUCACUCCUGUAAUCCGAGCACUCUGGGAGGCUGAGGCAGGUGGAU
RNAcentral lists this long non-coding RNA (1288 nucleotides) under Homo sapiens (human). Its description in RNAcentral is "HSALNT0029418". The record is from RNAcentral. Lineage: Eukaryota; Metazoa; Chordata; Mammalia; Primates; Hominidae.